ACCUGGCUGGCUCAAUUGGUAGAGCAUCAGACUCUUGAUCUCGGAGUCAUGAGUUCAAGUCACGUUGGGUG
RNAcentral lists this transfer RNA (71 nucleotides) under Ailuropoda melanoleuca (giant panda). It matches the Rfam family "tRNA". From Rfam's summary of the family: Transfer RNA (tRNA) molecules are approximately 80 nucleotides in length. Their secondary structure includes four short double-helical elements and three loops (D, anti-codon, and T loops). The record is from Rfam by way of RNAcentral. Lineage: Eukaryota; Metazoa; Chordata; Mammalia; Carnivora; Ursidae.